CAUGGGGUCGUCAGCUCGUGUUGUGAAAUGUUGGGUUAAGUCCCGCAAUCGAGCGCAACCCUUAUCCUUUGUCGCCAGCGCGUAAUGGCGGGAACUCAAAGGAGACUGCCCGGUGAUAAACCGGAGGAAGGUGGGGAUGACGUCAAGUCAUCAUGGCCCUUACGGAGUAGGGCUACACACGUGCUACAAUGGCAGAUACAAAGAGAAGCGACCUCGCGAGAGCAAGCGGAAUUCAUAAACUCUUUUCUAG
Molecule: ribosomal RNA, 250 nt
Filed under: Proteus vulgaris
Lineage: Bacteria; Pseudomonadati; Pseudomonadota; Gammaproteobacteria; Enterobacterales; Morganellaceae
Description: partial 16S ribosomal RNA
Rfam family: Bacterial small subunit ribosomal RNA
Source: RNAcentral